Long non-coding RNA from Cynoglossus semilaevis (tongue sole), 1980 nucleotides. RefSeq lists it as uncharacterized. Lineage: Eukaryota; Metazoa; Chordata; Actinopteri; Pleuronectiformes; Cynoglossidae. The record is from RefSeq and is a predicted model, not a curated record. The transcript has 5 exons.
CAUUUUGCUGUUAAUUGUCAUAAUAUUUUCGUGAUAUAGAAAAGAAGGUUUGGGGGUUAUUUUCCGGAAUGUUGUCUCGAAUAAUCGUAAUUUCUUUUGAUAAAUCCACAGCUGCCUUGACGCAAUAUUAGGGGCACGUUCUGAAUUAAAAAAUACGAGAUUAAAGUCGUAAAUUACUGACAACAAAUUCGAAACGUUACGAGAAUACAGUAGAAAAGCUACGAUAAAGAGUCGUAGCGUUUCAUGAAAACACCUCUGUGACUAAUAAAUGAAAUUAGUAUUUAGUAAUUUAUAACGUUGGUGCAGUACAUCAACCGAACACUUGGGGUCUGUAUUUCACCACACUUAGGACAACUAUCAGGGCCUCGGCUGAGUUACUUCACAUGAUUUCUCAGCAGGUAGAAACCCGGAAUACUUCAAGAACACACACAGGAAACUUCAUUUGAAAACAGAAUGACCAUCUGUUACCACUGGGCUUCAACCCGAUGACCUUCUUGCUCUGAGCAAAAAAGAACAUCAAACUUCCAGAGAAAUACAUCGAUGGCUGGAAACGUGUCCUGAUAAUUGGCAUUCAUUCAUCUCCACCGACUCCAGCUGCGAGAAGAAAGAGGUGGGGGAGGGACAGGAUCAUCUGACAGGAGGAGACGUGCUAUUAUGCAGAGAGCAGCCAUGCAGAUAAUUAUCUGUGGGAGGCACUGGGACAGCAACAAGGCUGGCGGACAGUCUGAUCUUGUCGGCGGCAGAAGGACAGAGAAUCAUUGGCGGCAAAGACGAAAGAUGAAAAAACAAAGGAAAGUUCACAGGUGGCUAAAUCCUGCUCCACUCUGUCUGGAAAACUUCACCUGUCAGUUCUGUUUAGGUGAAUGGGUUAUUCUUUUCAGCGCAUCACAUGAAACUCAUAUCAGAGCUAAGACUUGCAGAUUAUAUCUGUAAUACUUUUGAAAAUGUGCCCUGACUACCUGGCAUUAAACUCCGUCACUCAGUGAUUCCCUUUGACUUAAUGUUUCUGGCUAUAUACAGUACAGUUUAAUAGGAACUUUAUGUCUGUAUUACUGAUCCAACGGAGCCAAUUUAAAAACACAAAUUAACUAUCAGUGUCGUGGGUGUACGUGCCAUCUCAGAUAUUAAUUCCAAAAAUAUUCAAGUGAUAAUAGUUUUGUAUAUAUGUAUGUAUCUAUACAUCUAUCUAUACAUACGUAUGCAUUGGCUAUUAGAUGCAUUGUGGUUUAUUUAGUUUAAUUAUUUGUACAAUAAAUGAAGCCCAAACAUGUGGUUCCGUGUUAAGCUAACAUCUCCAAAAGAAAGAUACAAUCUACAAUCCAGACUGUCAGUGUCUGAACGGUAAUGAAGGGACAAACUAUCAGUUUGUUUCCUAAGGUUUAAAACAAAAACAAAACUUAUUUUCACCUCAUCUGACCCUCUCAAUUUCCUCCAACUAGGGCUCUGGGUUUUGCCCACAAGCUGGUCUCUGAUAGAGGAAAAAAAAGUGAACAUCAUCAAUUGCCAGAGUCAGACUCAGAGCUUGAUGUCUCACCCUUUUGACAAGAAUCCUAUCCUUAGCAAAUUAGUGGCAGGAGACAGCAAAAUAAAUUACAUUUAGGGCAAAAUAACCCACAAUGUCUCCGCUGUCUGGUGCUCGUAAAAACAGAAGGAAUGAGAAACUCCUUUUUGCCCCCUUUGAACUAAAUAUAUUUGUGACCAAACCAAACUGUCUAUUCCAAAGAAUUGUGUUUCUGUUGUUGUUUCUGUAGCUGACCUGCCUCUGUUUCAUUUACUGUAUAUCUAACCUUUAUUUUUCUGCAUUAUUUUUGAUGUUAUGGUGCGUUUAAAAGGAUAAAACAUUUUCAACAUUCAGUAUAAACAUCCCGUUCCGCAAAAUUAACAUUUUGAAUGUAGUCAUUUUCUUCUAAGGACAGACUUCAGAGAAACGAUGGUGGCUAGAACAAAGUCUUCCUCAAAUUGUGAGGGCCUCAAAUAGGC